Non-coding RNA from Paramisgurnus dabryanus, 714 nucleotides. The record is from RefSeq and is a predicted model, not a curated record. NCBI's taxonomy places the organism in Eukaryota, Metazoa, Chordata, Actinopteri, Cypriniformes, Cobitidae.
UUUACUUUAUUACAACUACAAUUUUUCAGCCCUUUUCCAGAAUUUGAACUAAUUUGAUCAUAAAGAUUGAUCUAUUUAUAAUUUAUCGAUUACAAUUUUUAGACAAUUAAAGCUGGUUAAAGGAACUUUUAUUUUGGAAAAAGAACUGCUGCUGUUUCAAGACAUGCGCACUAGCUGCGACAUCUAGUGACGACAUUUACCGGGCUUUAACGGUUGUUGCUGCAUGAAGUCUGCUGCAAUUUCUCUGAGAUUUCUCAAGAUCAUCAGUUUGGACAGAAUUCAUUUGAAGAAUUAAUAGCACUAGCAGGUUCCAAUAAAGGCUGGAACAGAACAGACAGAAAAGAAUCUGUCAGAAGAAAUUCAAGUACUGUUCGUGCACCAGAUGGUGAAGUAGAAAAGUUCGUAAAAACUUCUGCAGCUUGCAUCUGACAGAGAUGCAAAAAGAAUAAGAAAGCGGGCCUGAAAACAAGCAAAUUCAAGUCUUUCCUUCUUUUAGGGUACACUUGAGGAGUGUCCAGAUGUUUAUUAAUGUUUUAUUAAUGUAAUGUUAUGUUUCAAAUAAACAUGUAAACAUACUGUAUAUUUUUCUUUUUUUUUAAACACCUACAGUAAAGUGUGACACUUAACACAUUAAAAGCAUCACAAACAUUGAGGAUAGAACUUCUAAUGUGCAGUUUAACUUUUUUUAACUAAAUAUAAUAAAAGUUUUUUUUA